Monodelphis domestica (gray short-tailed opossum) is the source of this 1717-nucleotide long non-coding RNA. RefSeq lists it as uncharacterized. Lineage: Eukaryota; Metazoa; Chordata; Mammalia; Didelphimorphia; Didelphidae. The record is from RefSeq and is a predicted model, not a curated record.
GGAAUGAGAAGACUUGUAUGAGUUGAUGCAAAGUACAGUGAGCAGAACUAGAAUACUGUACAUAAUUACAGCAAUAUUGUUAUGAUGACCAAUUAUAAAAGGGUUAGCUAGUCUGAUCAACACAAUGAGAUCAACACAAUGAUCCACGACAAUUCCAAAAGACUCAUGAGAGAAAAUGCUAUCCACCUGCAGAACUGAAAUCUUCUGGGAAAGGCUGGCUUCCAAGAGCCUUUGAGAUAAAGGGGGGAAAAAGUUUAGCAAGACAAAAGGUAAAUCCCUACUAAAGAUGGAGACAUCCAGGAGAAGUCUUCAUUAAAUGAAUAUGAUGAUCUGACAAAAAAGAAUUUGUUUUGUUUCAAGAAAAGAAGAGAGAAUAAAAUAAAAGCUGGAAAAGCUGGGAAAUAUAAGCCAGGGAAGUUUAUUCAAAUAUAUUAAAACUAAAGAAGGACUUCAGAUUUCACUGUUUGCUGACUUGGAACUUACAGAAAGAACACAAGUGAAUGAGCAAGUAUCCCUAUAUUAAAUGUGUUUCUUCGCUUCACAACAGUGGUUGUUUCUGACAAAGCCAGAAAACAGAAACCUGACUGAAAGAAGUCAAAGAUUUCCACUAGCCACUUACUCACUAGCUUCUUUCUUCUUUCUUCAAAGCUAAUAAAACCUUUAUUUGUCAUAAAGUCACUUUAAUCAUCAAAGAGCACAUGCCACAUCACUGGGAUGCCUGAAAGCAUUGUAAAACUUACGGGGAAUAAAAAAGGAGAGAAGACUUAACAAGUGAUUCUAACUAACCCUCUGUAUUUCAGAUUUGUAUCUAUAUCUAUAUAAUUUUUUAAAAAAUUUAAAUUCUAAAAAAGCAUUUGGUUUUCUCAGAUUCUUUUCUAGUUAGCUUCUCUGCUCCUUCCAUUAUGGUAGUGGGUUGAGUCUCUUAGGGAAGAAUUUAUUGUUAAUGUAUAAAGAAAAGUUUAGUGUAUUUCAGAGUUUUAAAAUCAGACAAAUACUUUCACUGGGCAUUUUGCUAAGGAAGUAGUAGCUGAGGACUACGGCAAUAGAUAAGAUUUCAAAAAUCAUAAGCUCAAACAAAAGGCAUUUGCAGAAGGGGUCUCCUUUAAUUCCCACUACUUUACAAUUACAGAACCUAAGAGGCCCCCAAAUCAGCACUUUCAGGUAGACAAUAUUAACACUGGGAGACCUGAAACACAAGCAAGGCAAUCACUAGUCUCAGAUGAUAAACUUCAAAGAAACAUAAAGUAACAUAUGUUUCCCCAUGAAGAGCCUCAGGUAGUUUCCCUGGCCAUAGAAAACAUUUCACAAAUGACUAGGGAAAAACUAAAAUGAUUUAUAUUAUGAAAUUGUAAUAAAUAUGUGACUUUAUAUCAGCUACCAGCACUUAAACUGGUGCCCCAAAUUUAUGUUUUACAUAAUUAAAAAAACAAACAAAUGAGAUUUGGAUAGCUAUUGGUUAGAAUGAUUUUAUUCGUUAUCAUAAUAAUAGUCAACAGGCAAACAAUUAUUAAAUGUCUAUGAAAAUUGUACUAAAUGUUAAGGAUAUCGAUAAAGAAUGAAAGGAAAGCUAGGUGACUCAGUGGAUAGAGAGCCAGGCCUAGAGAUGGAAUUAUCUUGGGUUCAAAACUGGCCUCAGAAGCUUCAGAGUUGUAUUACUUAAUCCCAAUUGCCUAAUCCUUGCUGCUUUUCUGCCGUGGCACCAAUACUUAGUAUCAAU